GAGAGAGAAUGGGGCCAUGAUCCCUGGAUCUGCAUGCGUCCUUUUUAAAGCUGGACUGUUGGACAUACUCGAUCAUGAAGCCCUCCAGCUUGUACAUUUGAUAAUGAAUUUUUUUGCACUCUUUCUCUCUCUCUCUCUCUCCUCUCUUCUUCCUCUAAGCUGACGAGUGAUGCACACACCCCAUACGUAUGGACUUUAGCGAUCGCACAAACUUAAUGCGGCCUCUCGAAUCACGGGAACGUUAUCUAAGGAACUUGAAGCUGGCGAUAUGUUCAUCGGUCUACGUCAAUGCAAGCUUGCCAUAAGCUUUCCACGUCUCCAUUUGAUUUAUUGGAUAUUUAUCUCCUGCAAUUUAGCUGGCCGAGUAACAAAUAUCUCCAGGGUCUCAUUAGUUACUUUGCCAUGGGCUGCCUGUUUGUUUGGAAGUGGUAACUUCGAAUGAGUUGAACAAUGGUCUUCAAGCAGUUAAAUUGCUAGUACACUGGCAUUUUUGGCCUCUGUGGGAUCACGAGAGCUGCAGCUCGCCUAAUUUGGCUUGUAUGGAUGGAAGCAUGUGGUUUUGUGGGAGAAAGGGGGGUCCCUUGAAAGAAGAUUGGGCAAGGUUGGGUGCUGAGGCUAUUGGCGGAGAAAUUAUUAGAUGGAUCAAAUCCGGUGGACCACUCCAAAUUACGGGGCACAUGUACAUGUACAGCGAAUAAUAGAAUGAAUUCUCACCCUUGCUUUGAUCUUGAAUUGUGCAAAUAGAAGAUCGGAAUAACGUGGCGAGUGAUUAUUGGAGUGGUCCACCUAUUUUUAUAUAAUAAUAAAAACUAUCCUAGAGGGCCAUCUUGUCAAAAUCCCUUCGUGCGAGCCUUUUUUCCAAAUCUUUACAGAAUUCCUAAUUGAGUUCUUGGAAUGGACUGCGAGGUUGCAAGUAGAGAUAUUUCUUUUAUCAAUCUCUUUUAUGCUUUGUGGCGUCUUAUCGUUUAGUAGCGAGUCACGUGAACGCCUUCUAAGGCCCUUCUCUUUCUCUUUUUGUGCUUUCACUUCCUUUCUUUUCCUUAUAAAAGGAAUCUAGACCCCAUCCCACCCUGGCUUAUUAAUCCUAGAUACUAGUUACUCAAUAGUUAGCCUUUUAACACCUUCCUCUAGUCCCCUCAUCCAUUCCCUACCCAUAUCUAUAGCCUUGCUCUCUCUCUCUCUCUCUCUCUCUCUCUCUCUC
RNAcentral lists this long non-coding RNA (1201 nucleotides) under Phoenix dactylifera (date palm). RNAcentral's name for it is "long non-coding RNA (PDAC_LNC015455)". The record is from RNAcentral. Lineage: Eukaryota; Viridiplantae; Streptophyta; Magnoliopsida; Arecales; Arecaceae.